GGUUAAGUGACUAAGCGUACAGGGCGGAUGCCUUGGCAAUCAGAGGCGAUGAAGGACGUGCUAAUCUGCGAAAAGCUUGGAUGAGUCGAUAAGAGGCGUUUAAUCCAAGAUAUCCGAAUGGGGAAACCCAGUAGAUGAAGAAUCUACUAUCAAUAAAUGAAUACAUAGUUUAUUGAGGCGAACCGGGAGAACUGAAACAUCUAAGUACCCCGAGGAAAAGAAAUCAACCGAGAUUCUGUGAGUAGCGGCGAGCGAAAGCGGAAGAGCCAGUAAGUUUUAGCUAGCGUAUUAGAGGAAUUGGCUGGGAAGCCAAAUCAAAGAGGGUGAUAAUCCCGUACUCGAAAGUAUGGUAGUGGAACUAAGCUUACGAUAAGUAAGGCGGGACACGAGAAAUCCUGUUUGAAGAUGGGGGGACCAUCCUCCAAGGCUAAAUACUCCUGAUUGACCGAUAGUGAACCAGUACUGUGAAGGAAAGGCGAAAAGAACCCCGGUGAGGGGAGUGAAAUAGAACCUGAAACCCUGUACGUACAAGCAGUAGGAGCGAGGGCAACCUUGUGACUGCGUACCUUUUGUAUAAUGGGUCAGCGACUUAUAUUUUGUAGCGAGGUUAACUGAAUAAGGGAGCCGAAGGGAAACCGAGUCUUAACUGGGCGUUGAGUUGCAAGGUAUAGACCCGAAACCCGGUGAUCUAGCCAUGGGCAGGUUGAAGGUUGGGUAACACUAACUGGAGGACCGAACCGACUAAUGUUGAAAAAUUAGCGGAUGACUUGUGGCUGGGGGUGAAAGGCCAAUCAAACCGGGAGAUAGCUGGUUCUCCCCGAAAUCUAUUUAGGUAGAGCCUUGAGCGGACACCUUCGGGGGUAGAGCACUGUUUCGGCUAGGGGUCCAUCCCGGAUUACCAACCCGAUGCAAACUGCGAAUACCGAAGAGUGAUACUCAGGAGACACACGGCGGGUGCUAACGUUCGUCGUGGAGAGGGAAACAACCCAGACCGCCAGCUAAGGUCCCGAAGUCUAUAUUAAGUGGGAAACGAAGUGGGAAGGCUUAGACAGCUAGGAUGUUGGCUUAGAAGCAGCCAUCAUUUAAAGAAAGCGUAAUAGCUCACUAGUCGAGUCGGCCUGCGCGGAAGAUGUAACGGGGCUCAAAUAUA
This 1150-nucleotide ribosomal RNA is filed under the name Pasteurella multocida. Its description in RNAcentral is "partial 23S ribosomal RNA". It matches the Rfam family "Bacterial large subunit ribosomal RNA", at positions 1 to 1190 of the family's 2925-position model. The record is from RNAcentral. Lineage: Bacteria; Pseudomonadati; Pseudomonadota; Gammaproteobacteria; Pasteurellales; Pasteurellaceae.